GGCCGCUCUCUUGAAUUCGGGACAAUCUUGUGGGAUGUGCCCCGGCUUCUAACAUGCUGCGCAUUUCCUUUCUUGCUUCGCUUGCGUGGUG
This 91-nucleotide microRNA precursor is filed under the name Bombyx mori (domestic silkworm). RNAcentral's name for it is "microRNA bmo-mir-3312 precursor". Lineage: Eukaryota; Metazoa; Arthropoda; Insecta; Lepidoptera; Bombycidae. The record is from miRBase by way of RNAcentral.